Molecule: ribosomal RNA, 612 nt
Filed under: uncultured bacterium
Lineage: Bacteria
Description: bacterial SSU rRNA
Rfam family: Bacterial small subunit ribosomal RNA
Source: RNAcentral
AGAGUUUGAUCCUGGCUCAGGACUAACGCUGGCGGCGUGCCUAACACAUGCAAGUCGAACGAUUCUUUGAUUUAUAGCAAUAUUUCUUAAAGAGGAGUGGCGAACGGGUGAGUAACACGUAGAUAAUCUGCCUUUCAGACGGGGACAACUCAGGGAAACUUGUGCUAAUACCCGAUGAGACCACAAGAAGGGAUUUUUGUGGCCAAAGGCGGGCAGCAAUGCUCGUGCUGAAAGAUGAGUCUGCGUCCUAUCAGCUAGUUGGUGGGGUAAAUGCCUACCAAGGCUAAGACGGGUAGCCGGCUUGAGAGGGUGAACGGCCACACUGGGACUGAGACACGGCCCAGACUCCUACGGGAGACAGCAGUGAGGAAUUUUCCGCAAUGAGCGCAAGCCUGACGGAGCGACGCCGCGUGAGGGAUGACAGCUUUCGGGUUGUAAACCUCUUUUAUUAAGGAAAAAGAUCUAUAUGCUAAUAUCAUGUAGAUUUGAUGGUACUUAUUGAAUAAGCCCCGGCUAACUACGUGCCAGCAGCCGCGGUAAUACGUAGGGGGCGAGCGUUGUCCAGAGUUACUGGGCGUAAAGAGCGUGUAGGCGGUUGAAAAAGUCAGGUGU